AUGGCAGAUUUUUUGAAAGGACUGCCUGUCUACAAUAAAAGCAAUUUUAGUCGAUUUCACGGGGACUCCGUGUGCAAAGCCUCGAACCAACGGCCCUCAGUCUACCUGCCCACCCGAGAGUACCCGUCUGAACAGAUCAUCGUGACCGAAAAGACAAACAUCCUCCUGCGCUACCUGCAUCAGCAAUGGACAAAAAGAACGCUGCCAAGAAGGAAGACCAGGAGCAAGUGGAGCUGGAAGGCGAGACCUCGGCGCCCCUCCGCAAGUUGGCGCUGACCCACAGCCCAGAGAUACAGGAGGACACUUAA
This 308-nucleotide long non-coding RNA is filed under the name Homo sapiens (human). RNAcentral describes it as "non-protein coding lnc-KLHL28-4:1". The record is from RNAcentral. Lineage: Eukaryota; Metazoa; Chordata; Mammalia; Primates; Hominidae.